This 1228-nucleotide ribosomal RNA is filed under the name metagenome. RNAcentral describes it as "bacterial SSU rRNA". It matches the Rfam family "Bacterial small subunit ribosomal RNA", at positions 8 to 1257 of the family's 1533-position model. The record is from RNAcentral.
AGAGUUUGAUCCUGGCUCAGGACGAACGCUGGCGGCGCGCCUAACACACGCAAGUCGAACGAGCGAGAGAGAGCUUGCUUUCUCGAGCGAGUGGCGAACGGGUGAGUAACGCGUGAGGAACCUGCCUCAAAGAGGGGGACAACAGUUGGAAACGACUGCUAAUACCGCAUAAGCCCACGACCCGGCAUCGGGUAGAGGGAAAAGGAGAAAUCCGCUUUGAGAUGGCCUCGCGUCCGAUUAGCUAGUUGGUGAGGUAACGGCCCACCAAGGCGACGAUCGGUAGCCGGACUGAGAGGUUGAACGGCCACAUUGGGACUGAGACACGGCCCAGACUCCUACGGGAGGCAGCAGUGGGGAAUAUUGCACAAUGGGGGAAACCCUGAUGCAGCGACGCCGCGUGGAGGAAGAAGGUCUUCGGAUUGUAAACUCCUGUUGUUGAGGAAGAUAAUGACGGUACUCAACAAGGAAGUGACGGCUAACUACGUGCCAGCAGCCGCGGUAAAACGUAGGUCACAAGCGUUGUCCGGAAUUACUGGGUGUAAAGGGAGCGCAGGCGGGAAGGCAAGUUGGAAGUGAAAUCCAUGGGCUCAACCCAUGAACUGCUUUCAAAACUGUUUUUCUUGAGUAGUGCAGAGGUAGGCGGAAUUCCCGGUGUAGCGGUGGAAUGCGUAGAUAUCGGGAGGAACACCAGUGGCGAAGGCGGCCUACUGGGCACCAACUGACGCUGAGGCUCGAAAGUGUGGGUAGCAAACAGGACUAGAUACCCUGGUAGUCCACACUGUAAACGAUGAUUACUAGGUGUUGGAGGAUUGACUCCUUCAGUGCCGCAGUUAACACAAUAAGUAAUCCACCUGGGGAGUACGACCGCAAGGUUGAAACUCAAAGGAAUUGACGGGGGCCCGCACAAGCAGUGGAGUAUGUGGUUUAAUUCGACGCAACGCGAAGAACCUUACCAAGUCUUGACAUCCUGCGACGCACAUAGAAAUAUGUGUUUCCUUCGGGACGCAGAGACAGGUGGUGCAUGGUUGUCGUCAGCUCGUGUCGUGAGAUGUUGGGUUAAGUCUCGCAACGAGCGCAACCCUUAUGGUCAGUUACUACGCAAGAGGACUCUGGCCAGACUGCCGUUGACAAAACGGAGGAAGGUGGGGAUGACGUCAAAUCAUCAUGCCCUUUAUGACUUGGGCUACACACGUACUACAAUGGCGUUAAACAAAGAGAAGCAAGACCG